UACGUAGGGUGCAAGCGUUAAUCGGAAUUACUGGGCGUAAAGCGUGCGCAGGCGGUUAUGCAAGACAGAGGUGAAAUCCCCGGGCUCAACCUGGGAACUGCCUUUGUGACUGCAUGGCUAGAGUACGGUAGAGGGGGACGGAAUUCCGCGUGUAGCAGUGAAAUGCGUAGAUAUGCGGAGGAACACCGAUGGCGAAGGCAAUCCCCUGGACCUGUACUGACGCUCAUGCACGAAAGCGUGGGGAGCAAACAGG
This 253-nucleotide ribosomal RNA is filed under the name uncultured bacterium. RNAcentral describes it as "partial 16S ribosomal RNA". It matches the Rfam family "Bacterial small subunit ribosomal RNA", at positions 524 to 776 of the family's 1533-position model. The record is from RNAcentral.